UUUGUAUUUACAGCUGUGCAUGUCACUGACACCCCCUCAACAUCCAGUGGUGAUGAAAUCCUUUACUCUGUGAUUGACUUAAAGAACGCAAAGCCAGCUAAACCCCGACCAAAACGUGACUGUGGCGUCCUGUACUCUGCUGUCCUUGUCAAGACACCAGAAGUAAAGGAAGAGGGUCCCCAAGGAUGAAAGCCAGCCUGAAUCCAGAGACACUGAGAAGGAGUGCAUGUCAGAGAUCACAGUCCCUCCUGAAUUUAGAGAACAUCCCUGGGAUUCAGGCCUGUUCCUGGCUAUUGAAUUGGUUUGGUGAUUUUAGGACAUAAUUACUGGGCCAUUCUACAGAUAAGAAAAACAUUGUGCUUUUACUCUACAGACAAUGUUUGUUCCAAUGUAACAAGAUAUAAAAACAACCUGUGUACC
Molecule: long non-coding RNA, 420 nt
Organism: Acipenser ruthenus (sterlet)
Lineage: Eukaryota; Metazoa; Chordata; Actinopteri; Acipenseriformes; Acipenseridae
Exons: 3
Source: RefSeq, a predicted model, not a curated record